AGACACAGCGCAGACAUGAAGGCUCCUGCCCAGCUCCUGGGGCUCCUGCUGCUUUGGCUCCCAGGUGCCAGAUGUGACAUCCAGUUGACCCAGUCUCCAUCCGUGUCUGCAUCUCUGGGAGACAGAGUCGCCAUCACUUGUAGGGCCAGCCAGGGCAUUGGCACUGGUUUACAUUGGUACCAACAGAGACCAGGGAAAGCUCCCAAGCUCCUGAUCCGUUAUGCAACUACUUUGGAAUCUGGGGUCCCAUCGAGGUUCAGUGGCAGUGGAUCUGGGACAGAGUUCACUCUCACCAUCAGCAGCCUGCAGCCUGAAGAUGUUGCCACUUAUUACUGUCAACAGAGUAGGAGUUACCCUCCCACGUUAGGUGAAGGGACCACGUUGUGUCUCCUAAUCUCUUAA
Perognathus longimembris pacificus (Pacific pocket mouse) is the source of this 402-nucleotide non-coding RNA. NCBI's taxonomy places the organism in Eukaryota, Metazoa, Chordata, Mammalia, Rodentia, Heteromyidae. The record is from the annotation of a RefSeq genome assembly.